RNAcentral lists this long non-coding RNA (2933 nucleotides) under Olea europaea subsp. europaea. Lineage: Eukaryota; Viridiplantae; Streptophyta; Magnoliopsida; Lamiales; Oleaceae. The record is from RNAcentral.
CUUCUGUUUUCCUUUUCUUUUCUUUUACUUUUUCUUUUUCCGACGCUUCUUUCUUCUUCUCCCUUUUCUAUUUUUCCCACCUCCUCUAUUGCAACUUCCGUCAGCAUAUUACCAUCCCGCCACCUUCAAUCAGCCAUCAGUCAUCAGGCCCACUAGCCUAAUGACCCAAAUCAGCGCUUGAGAAAGCUAAGAGGUAUCAUUUAUUCAUUUUUUUGUAAGAUUGUUACCGGAUUUGCAGGGCAAUAUUGUGUGAAAUGUAAAUUGGGUUGUUUGUUUGCUAUAAAUUUGUUUAUUUGGUAGCUAUCAAUUUAUUUAUUGGGGUAUAGAAAAAUACCGUAGAUCUACAGUAAAGUGAAGGUUCUUACUCAAUUGAAAAUGUUACGUGUUCAAAAUUAUUAUAAUGUUCUGUUUCCUUGACUUUAGAUUAAAAUUUUGCUUUAUGCAAUUUAUUAGAUGUAAGAGUCCGUUUGGCAUGGCUUUUGAAAAGUCAAAACUAGCUUUUGAAUCCAUUUGACUAAUUUUGUUAAAGUGCUUUUGAUGGUUAAAAGAACUUGUAGAGAAAGUUGGUUCAAUAUGACUUCCUCUAAAAGCACUUCCGAAAAAGAAAAUACUUUUAAAUAUUAGUUUUCAAACAAAAAUUAAAAUAACUUUUUCCAAAAGCUCUUUUAAAAAAAGUAGAAUUAAAAGCAAAAGCUAUGCGAAACGGGCCCGUAAUCUUUGUUCUUAUUAAAAUUGUGCUUUGAAUCUUUAGAACUUCCUGUCCCAUGUCUAAUAAUGUUAAAGGUAAGAAUAAAUUAAUUUGAAUUUCCAAAUUUUGAAUAAUAAUUGCUGCAUUCAUCAAUGACGAUAUGAUAAAAACCUGAAGUGUGGAUAGAUUUCAAAUUAAAAUUUGGUCUCUUCUGUUGUCAUUAGUGAAUUGAUUUCAUCAAAAGCCUUCCAUGAUAGUUUGUUUUUUUUAUAUGGUGUCACUUGUUAUCUCUUUCACGACGCUCGAAAGUUCUGUUUUAUGUCUUUGUGGGGGAAAAUGGAAUGAAAGAACAUGUUGCAAUAAAUAAAACAUACAUGAUUGCUUGUUUAUUUUCCCAAGGCCGUGUAAAUUUCUCCACUGCUGUGGUUAUUUCAUUUGUUUUGUGAGAAUAGUAGUAUCAAGGGGAAGUUUGAAAUCUUUUGAUAACUUGGAUUAGAUCUUGUAACAGGAGUUUAAUUGAUUCUUUUAUUCUUAGAAAAAUAACCAGUAAACAUCUUUGGAGAAGAUGAAUAGAAAAUGGGGAGGGGUUUCUACUCUUUUUUUUUUACCAUUCUUUUUUCUAUUUUCCGACUUUUGUUUGUUGAGCUCUCCACUAUAGGUUUUUAUGAUUUGUGACUUUUUAUUAUCUUUAAUGAUUAGACUAAUCAAAAAGGUUAUUUGGUCUUAACUUUGUAUGACGGAGCAGCUGCCCCAAUGGCAUUUGUCUCCCAGCACGUUCAUACAAGAAACACAUCCUCACUGUACACAUGGUAUCUUUAUACUCCCAUCGAGUAUUUUCAAAGAUGUCGAUUUUACACAAAUUGUUUGUUUCAUAAAUAAUUACUAACUCAAGAAAUAUACUAACUUUUUAGGCGUCUUUCUAUUUAUAUGAUGAAUGAAGUUAUUGUGAGAAAAGAUUACAAAGUAUGAAAAUAUAGUCGCCUGAGAAUUGGAUGUAUCGGGUUUGGCUCGUGCUUCUGAAUACACAUUCCUCGUGUUUGCAUUCCUGGUUGGGAACUAUUUUAAUGUUAAUUCUCUUCUUUUCCUUUAUUUCUUUCACUUUGUUAUUCCCUUUUUUCCCUUCAUUUAUAACAUUCUACAGCAUUUGAGUAAUCAUCUUGGAAUAUUUCCCAACAGGAGGGUACAACACCUUGAACCUAUAUGCUGAGGAUGAAUUACAUCAUUCUGCACAAGCUGGGGAGGUGGCAAAAGAAUUACAAAUUAUGCUCCGGUAAAAUAUAUGCUGGAUGAUCAUAAUAAUCUUGUAGUUUCCUCUUUCACUUUUUUGACGUUUUAUUGCUUUGUAAAAGAUUUUAUUGCAUUAUCUUUGGUACAAUCAACGAGUUUUGUAGGUUCUGAAAUCGUUAAACAGAGCAAGGAACAGAGGGUUCUCUUAUGCCUUGUACCUUGAUUCGAUGAAUAAGCGAUAUAUUGAAGAGUUCUUUUCUUGUAAUGUCUUCAUUUUGAAGGUAUUCAACUAAUCACAUUUUGCACUGAUUAAUACGAUAUAUUUCAUCAAGGAAACUGCGGUUUAUUUUCUUAAAUUACUUGGUGGUCUUACUCAGAUUUACAAGUAAUUACUAAAAUCAUAUAAUUCAUAGACUUGUAUGGGAAAAUGUUCUUUCUACACCAACAACCAAUGGGUUAAGUUUCAAUGAGCGAAACUAAAGGAAUUUUACUGCAUAUGUUCCAAAAUCUUUUUUUUUCCCCAGUUUGCUAUCCUUUGUGCAUUCGAACUUUCAAUCAAUUCGUAGUUAUCUUCCUAGAUUAGAGCUCAAAGAAUUUUUCUCAAAUGUGUCAGGUUGAAGAAUGUCCUAUUCAAUUUGAAGAAUUACUUGAUGCUGACGAAGUUUUCUGCACAGGUUAUGUUACUCUUAACAUCUUUCUUAAAUAGAGUUUGAAGCACAUCCCUUAAUACGUAACAUCUUUUCCUGGUGUAGGUGCAACCUGGAGGACUAUAAGCAGGAUCAAUGAUUGUCAUCUUCGGGUUGGAAGCAAUAGGAUUAGUUGUGUGAUCUUCCACCUGAUAGAAUAGAAGGAUUUGUUGCAUAUCUAAUUCAUGAUGAUGAAUAGUUAUAUUUUUUUAGGUGCAUAAUAAUAGAAAGAGCAUGCUUGCUUUGCUCUUUUAAAUUUAGAUGUAAUGAUACUUUGUAAAUGGUUUUUAUUUUUGUUUUGAUGAAAUAUUUUUAAUUCAAUUUUAUAUUGA